Molecule: unclassified non-coding RNA, 259 nt
Filed under: Hevea brasiliensis (rubber tree)
Lineage: Eukaryota; Viridiplantae; Streptophyta; Magnoliopsida; Malpighiales; Euphorbiaceae
Source: RNAcentral
GCUAAUUGUUGUAGCUGAUGGACGACGUGUGACAUCCUCGGACGCAUUGAUGGUACAUGUUGUGUACAAGAAUAAACAAGAUCAACAACUUUUUGGAUGACUCCAACUUCAGGAAUCUGAGAAGAGGAAGAAGAUGAUAUGAGAGGAUCCAAGAGUUCAACAUAUCGAUGAGCUUGCACCAGAGGCGUGGCCCAUUCAAAUAUACUUUGCCAUCCAACAGAAUCUACUGCCUGUGCUGGUCUUCGUCCACUAAUUAUUU